Ornithorhynchus anatinus (platypus) is the source of this 637-nucleotide long non-coding RNA. RefSeq lists it as uncharacterized. The record is from RefSeq and is a predicted model, not a curated record. Lineage: Eukaryota; Metazoa; Chordata; Mammalia; Monotremata; Ornithorhynchidae. The transcript has 3 exons.
GGAGCUGGAAACAUCCUCCAAAACAGAGAUUUUAUGUGCUGUAGCUCUCUUAGGCUAGAGGCUGAUCUGUGUCCUCCUGAAUUUAUCCAAUUCCUUCUUUGACCUACUGAUAUUUUUGGCCAGCACAACUUCCUGUGAUAAUGAAUUCUAUGUAUUUACCACCCAGAUACAUCCAGGAUCAGAUAAAGUAUCUGAGUUUUCCAAGGACAAUUACCCCGUUCUCCCACGAUGAAGUUUUUCACUCUGUUUCUGUUAGAACACCGUCAAGAACCAUUCUUGAACAACCUGCAUCUACCUGAACUAAAUGGAAUGUCAUGUUGAAAGAAAUGGUUUGCUUGUGUAUAGGGUGCUGGUCAAGGAUGUGUAUUAUAGAGCGAGUUUUCCUUAAUUUGGGGUUCAUUAGGAACUUAACUCCUGUAUCUAGAAGAACUGAAUAUAUUGACCUUCUUGAUUUGGUUUUCUUCUACUUGUCUAAAGCAAAAUGUUCCUUCAAGGGCUCUUACAAUUGCUUGGCCCCUUUUCUGGAUGGUUGCCUGUCCAUUUAGAAGCUGGUGUAAAUGAGAAUAUUUUAUAGAACUUUUGGAACAUGGUACUGACAGACAAUGGCAUGAGAGAAAUAAACAAAUAAAUUACUGUA